Molecule: ribosomal RNA, 542 nt
Filed under: Rimosodaphnella truvana
Lineage: Eukaryota; Metazoa; Mollusca; Gastropoda; Neogastropoda; Raphitomidae
Description: partial small subunit ribosomal RNA
Source: RNAcentral
GUUAAACCAAUAAAACUAAGUUAUACAAAGUUGGUAAAAAUACAGUGAGGUGAUUUAAUUUAGUUAAUGAUUCUUUAUAUAAAGGUAAAAUUUAUAUAAUAUAAUAUUCCAAAAAAACUAUAUUACUGAAUCUGUGAUAUCUUUUAGGGAAACUGGGAUUGGAUACCCCAUUAUUUCUAGAUAUAAAUAAUAUCUUACCAGAGCACUACGAAUAUAAUAAUUUAAAACUCAAAGGGCUUGGCGGUAUUUUAGACCUUUUAGGGGAACCUGUCUUAUAAUCGAUAAUACACGCUAAACCUUUCCUUUUUUAGCACUCAGUUUGCAUACCGUUGUCGUCAGGUAACUUUUAAAAAUAUAAUAGUUAGCUAUAAAAUUAGAUUAAUUUAGAUGUCAAAUCAAGGUGCAGCUUACAAAAAGGAAAAGAUGGGUUACAAUUUUAUAGUUAUAAUACGGACGGCUAAUUGAAAAUAACCUAAAGGAGGACUUAAAAGUAAAUAUAUUUAUACAAAUAUUUUGAACAAGGCUCUAAGAUGCGUACACAU